This 695-nucleotide ribosomal RNA is filed under the name uncultured bacterium. Its description in RNAcentral is "bacterial SSU rRNA". It matches the Rfam family "Bacterial small subunit ribosomal RNA", at positions 32 to 715 of the family's 1533-position model. The record is from RNAcentral.
AACGCUAGCUACAGGCUUAACACAUGCAAGUCGAGGGGCAGCAUUCCAGUUUGCUUGCAAACUGGAGAUGGCGACCGGCGCACGGGUGAGUAACACGUAUCCAACCUGCCGAUAACUCGGGGAUAGCCUUUCGAAAGAAAGAUUAAUACCCGAUGGCAUAAUAGAACCGCAUGGUUUGAUUAUUAAAGAAUUUCGGUUAUCGAUGGGGAUGCGUUCCAUUAGGCAGUUGGUGGGGUAACGGCCCACCAAACCUUCGAUGGAUAGGGGUUCUGAGAGGAAGGUCCCCCACAUUGGAACUGAGACACGGUCCAAACUCCUACGGGAGGCAGCAGUGAGGAAUAUUGGUCAAUGGACGAGAGUCUGAACCAGCCAAGUAGCGUGAAGGAUGACUGCCCUAUGGGUUGUAAACUUCUUUUAUACGGGAAUAAAGUGAGGCACGUGUGCCUUUUUGUAUGUACCGUAUGAAUAAGGAUCGGCUAACUCCGUGCCAGCAGCCGCGGUAAUACGGAGGAUCCGAGCGUUAUCCGGAUUUAUUGGGUUUAAAGGGAGCGUAGGCGGACGCUUAAGUCAGUUGUGAAAGUUUGCGGCUCAACCGUAAAAUUGCGGUUGAUACUGGGUGUCUUGAGUACAGUAGAGGCAGGCGGAAUUCGUGGUGUAGCGGUGAAAUGCUUAGAUAUCACGAAGAACUCCGAUUG